UGGGGAAUCUUCCGCAAUGGACGAAAGUCUGACGGAGCAACGCCGCGUGAGUGAUGACGGCCUUCGGGUUGUAAAGCUCUGUUAAUCGGGACGAAAGGUCUUCUUGCGAAUAGUUAGAAGAAUUGACGGUACCGGAAUAGAAAGCCACGGCUAACUACGUGCCAGCAGCUGCGGUAAUACGUAGGUGGCAAGCGUUGUCCGGAAUUAUUGGGCGUAAAGCGCGCGCAGGCGGAUCAGUCAGUCUGUCUUAAAAGUUCGGGGCUUAACCCCGUGAUGGGAUGGAAACUGCUGAUCUAGAGUAUCGGAGAGGAAAGUGGAAUUCCUAGUGUAGCGGUGAAAUGCGUAGAUAUUAGGAAGAACACCAGUGGCGAAGGCGACUUUCUGGACGAAAACUGACGCUGAGGCGCGAAAGCCAGGGGAGCGAACGGGAUUAGAUACCCCGGUAGUCCUGGCCGUAAACGAUGGGUACUAGGUGUAGGAGGUAUCGACCCCUUCUGUGCCGGAGUUAACGCAAUAAGUACCCCGCCUGGGGAGUACGACCGCAAGGUUG
This 550-nucleotide ribosomal RNA is filed under the name uncultured bacterium. RNAcentral describes it as "bacterial SSU rRNA". It matches the Rfam family "Bacterial small subunit ribosomal RNA", at positions 355 to 896 of the family's 1533-position model. The record is from RNAcentral.